GACGAACGCUGGCGGCGUGCUUAACACAUGCAAGUCGAACGGAAAGGCCCUGCUUUUGUGGGGUGCUCGAGUGGCGAACGGGUGAGUAACACGUGAGUAACCUGUACUUGACUUUGGGAUAACUUCAGGCAACAGGGGCUCAUCCCGGAUAGGAGCUACUGCUGCAUGGUGGGGGUUGGAAAGUUUCGGCGGUUGGGGAUGGACUCGCGGCUUAUCAGCUUGUUGGUGUGGUAGUGGCUUACCAAGGCUUUGAAGGGUGGCCGGCCUGAUAGGGUGACCGGACACAUUGGGACUGAGAUGCGGCCCAGACUCCUACGGGAGGCAGCAGUGGAGAAUAUUGCACUAUGGGCGGAAGCCUGAUGCAGCAACGCCGCGUGCGGGAUGUCGGCCUUCGGGUUGUAAACCACUUUCGCCUGUGACGAAGCGUGAGUGACGGUAAUGGGUAAAGAAGCACCGGCUAACUACGUG
RNAcentral lists this ribosomal RNA (468 nucleotides) under uncultured bacterium. RNAcentral's name for it is "partial 16S ribosomal RNA". It matches the Rfam family "Bacterial small subunit ribosomal RNA", at positions 28 to 507 of the family's 1533-position model. The record is from RNAcentral.